Molecule: ribosomal RNA, 492 nt
Filed under: uncultured bacterium
Lineage: Bacteria
Description: partial 16S ribosomal RNA
Rfam family: Bacterial small subunit ribosomal RNA
Source: RNAcentral
AGUGAACGCUGGCGGUAGGCCUAACACAUGCAAGUCGAACGGCAGCACAGUAAGAGCUUGCUCUUACGGGUGGCGAGUGGCGGACGGGUGAGGAAUACAUCGGAAUCUACUUUUUCGUGGGGGAUAACGUAGGGAAACUUACGCUAAUACCGCAUACGACCUACGGGUGAAAGCAGGGGAUCUUCGGACCUUGCGCGAUUGAAUGAGCCGAUGUCGGAUUAGCUAGUUGGCGGGGUAAAGGCCCACCAAGGCGACGAUCCGUAGCUGGUCUGAGAGGAUGAUCAGCCACACUGGAACUGAGACACGGUCCAGACUCCUACGGGAGGCAGCAGUGGGGAAUAUUGGACAAAGGGCGCAAGCCUGAUCCAGCCAUACCGCGUGGGUGAAGAAGGCCUUCGGGUUGUAAAGCCCUUUUGUUGGGAAAGAAAAGCAGCAGGUUAAUACCCCGCUGUUCUGACGGUACCCAAAGAAUAAGCACCGGCUAACUUGGUG